Fundulus heteroclitus (mummichog) is the source of this 226-nucleotide long non-coding RNA. RefSeq lists it as uncharacterized. NCBI's taxonomy places the organism in Eukaryota, Metazoa, Chordata, Actinopteri, Cyprinodontiformes, Fundulidae. The transcript has 2 exons. The record is from RefSeq and is a predicted model, not a curated record.
UUUUUUUUCUCUUUCUCUCACUCUCUCAUCUGCAGCUCCAGGCCUUUUCAAUAAUGAAAAAUGCAAGCUUGACUCCUAGUGAGACGACACGAGCGGCUGCUGGUUAGACGAGGGUGCUUGAGAUCCCGGCUGGUGUGGGAGAAGGAGUUUCCACCCUAACAAUGAGCGGCGUUUUGAAGGGACUUAGUCAAAAGGAAAAGAAUAAAUGGACACAGCCUUUUUUCUU